AACAGUCGACCCAUGCCGACUGAACCUAGGACUACGUGAAGGUCCUGCUCCAGUAUACCCGUUGCCGACCUUGGCUCCUUGGGAUGAAUGACUAAGUUCAGCUAGCGGGGCUUGAAUCAAGGCCUCACAUAAGUAGGCACUCCUGAAGGCUGUACCUUUUUGGCACAUAUGGUUGUACAUUCGACAAGAAAGAUUGGCCCAAUGAACUGGUGCUUAUAUAACCAGAGUAAGCUCUAGGACAGAAUAUCC
Molecule: long non-coding RNA, 249 nt
Filed under: Setaria italica (foxtail millet)
Lineage: Eukaryota; Viridiplantae; Streptophyta; Magnoliopsida; Poales; Poaceae
Description: long non-coding RNA (SITA_LNC000354)
Source: RNAcentral